This 59-nucleotide transfer RNA is filed under the name Lepilemur edwardsi (Milne-Edwards's sportive lemur). RNAcentral's name for it is "tRNA-Ser". Lineage: Eukaryota; Metazoa; Chordata; Mammalia; Primates; Lepilemuridae. The record is from RNAcentral.
GAGAGAGAAUGUAAGAACUGCUAACUCUACACACCAUAUAUAAAAAUGUGGCUCCCUCA